Molecule: long non-coding RNA, 216 nt
Filed under: Capsicum annuum
Lineage: Eukaryota; Viridiplantae; Streptophyta; Magnoliopsida; Solanales; Solanaceae
Description: long non-coding RNA (CANN_LNC015315)
Source: RNAcentral
AGACAUAAUGGGACUAUGGAAUGUGGAUGGCAUAUGACAUAAGAGAGAGUAGCAGUCUGGACCAAAUGUGGCGCCUAGAAACUAUGUCCAAGACUAGUUUGUCAUUUAUAAUUAGUUUAGGGACUUAGAAGGCAAUUAUGAGAGAAUAAAUUAUUAAAGGCUUAAUGCUGAAUUUGUAUUCAUCAUUUAUUAUUCUGUAUUAUUUUGAGAGAGGAG